This 96-nucleotide transfer RNA is filed under the name Amborella trichopoda. RNAcentral describes it as "tRNA AMTR_s00253t00274420". Lineage: Eukaryota; Viridiplantae; Streptophyta; Magnoliopsida; Amborellales; Amborellaceae. The record is from RNAcentral.
UACUACUAUGAGUAGUACUAGCAGUACUUGUACUACUACGAGUAGUACUAGUAGUACUUGUACUACAACAAGUAGUACGAGUAUUACUAGUAGUAC